RNAcentral lists this ribosomal RNA (915 nucleotides) under uncultured bacterium. RNAcentral describes it as "bacterial SSU rRNA". It matches the Rfam family "Bacterial small subunit ribosomal RNA", at positions 246 to 1155 of the family's 1533-position model. The record is from RNAcentral.
UUGUUGGUAAGGUAAAAGCUUACCAAGGCUUCGAUCAGUAGCUGGUCUGAGAGGACGACCAGCCACACUGGGACUGAGACACGGCCCAUACUCCUACGGGAGGCAGCAGUGGGAAUUUUGGACAAUGGGGGCAACCCUGAUCCAGCCAUGCCGCGUGAGUGAAGAAGGCCUUCGGGUUGUAAAGCUCUUUCAGCCGGAACGAAACGGUUACGGAUAACACCCGUGACUACUGACGGUACCGGAAGAAGAAGCACCGGCUAACUACGUGCCAGCAGCCGCGGUAAUACGUAGGGUGCGAGCGUUAAUCGGAAUUACUGGGCGUAAAGCGUGCGCAGGUGGUUUUGUAAGUCAGAUGUGAAAGCCCCGGGCUCAACCUGGGAACUGCGUUUGAAACUACAAGACUAGAGUGUGGCAGAGGGGGGUGGAAUUCCGCGCGUAGCAGUGAAAUGCGUAGAGAUGUGGAGGAACACCGAUGGCGAAGGCAGCCCCCUGGGUCAACACUGACGCUCAGGCACGAAAGCAUGGGGAGCAAACAGGAUUAGAUACCCUGAUAGUCCAUGCCCUAAACGAUGUCAACUAGUUGUCGGGCCUUUACGGGCUUGGUAACGUAGCUAACGCGUGAAGUUGACCGCCUGGGGAGUACGAUCGCAAGAUUAAAACUCAAAUGAAUUGACGGGGACCCGCACAAGCGGUGGAUUAUGUGGAUUAAUUCGAUGCAACGCGAAAAACCUUACCUACCCUUGACAUGUAUCGAAGCCCGCAGAAAAGCGGGGGUGCCCGAAAGGGAACGAUAACACAGGUGUUGCAUGGCUGUCGUCAGCUCGUGUCGUGAGAUGUUGGGUUAAGUCCCGCAACGAGCGCAACCCUUGUCAUUAAUUGCCAUCAUUUAGUUGGGCACUUUAAUGAGACUGCCGG